UACGGAGGGUGCGAGCGUUAUCCGGAAUCACUGGGUUUAAAGGGUGCGUAGGCGGCUCGGUAAGUCAGUUGUGAAAGCCCCUUGCUUAACGAGGGAGGUGCGAUUGAUACUGUCGAGCGUGAAUCGGGAUGAGGCAGGCGGAAUGUGGCAUGUAGCGGUGAAAUACAUAGAUAUGCCAUAGAACACCGAGUGCGAAGGCAGGCUGCUGGGCCUGUAUUGACGCUGAGGCACGAAAGCGUGGGGAGCAAACAGG
RNAcentral lists this ribosomal RNA (253 nucleotides) under uncultured bacterium. Its description in RNAcentral is "partial 16S ribosomal RNA". It matches the Rfam family "Bacterial small subunit ribosomal RNA", at positions 524 to 776 of the family's 1533-position model. The record is from RNAcentral.